UGUUAUAUUAAUGUCUGUCUCCCUGUCUACAAGCGUGGAAAUCUCAGGGAAGCCAAAGCCAGAGUACUGGACCCAGCCGAAGGCACUGAGGAUCCAUCCGCAGAACAGAACACUCACUGCCUGGGGAAUUCUCAGAUGUCCGGUAAGAUUGGGUCCCUCCUGACACCGGUGAAACUCAAAGCAGGACUGCAUGCUAAAGGCAACUCCUCAAAAGCAGUUAGAACGCACUCCAAUCGAAGGGACGACAGUCAAACAUACUGAAUUAUUUUUUCCAGUUUCCAAAAAAGAUCCAUUUGCAUAACUGAAAUUAAUUUAUCUUUAUCAUGACACUCUGGUCCUCCAAAAACAAUGGGGGUGGGGAGAAACAACAGAUAAACAAAGUCUAUGAGAAAUGUCAAUUUCCCAUUGAAAUCAAUCAAGCCAGCAAGCAACAGUACCGACUGAGCAACCACUAAGUGCUAGGUGCUGUACUAAGUGCUCAGGAAAGUACAACGCCCACAAAAGCACAGUCUCUGUCCUCUGGGAGCACAAAAAUAAUUCAGACAAGGAAGGCAGGAGGAAUAACAAGGAUCAGGCCAGGAGCAGUACAAACCCUUCUGGAGGGAGCAGCUCAGAAAGUAACUGGAUGUGCAGACCAAAACAAAAGCAAAAUUCCACACACGGAACAAGAGUGGAGGAGAGGAGUAAAAUACUCAUAAGCCAGGGAAUGGAGUGUCCGUUAGGGUUAGGCGAUAGGAAAGGAUUUUGUGGGGAGAGAGGACAGCCUUUAGAGGGGCGCUUUGAAGACAGGAGAGCUGUGAUCUGGCAGAACAGCAGUGAACAAGCAGUCGGAGGCCAGAGAGCCAAAUACAGCGAGGUGAGGGGAGCGAGGAGUGCUGAGGGCAGAGCAGUGGGCAAAGAGGGCCAAUAUGGAAGACUGGGAGAGCAGCUGGUGGAGACAGGGGUCAGAAGUCACCGCUUGGCCCGGGGGCAAAGCGUGGGCUUUGGGGAGCGGAGAGGCUGGGGCCGAGUGACACCACAGGAAGAGGAUCUGGGCAGUGGUUGUGGCUGCGGUGGUGGCGGCAGCACCGGAGCCGGGAGAGGCCAGAAGGCGGCAGACCGGCAAGGAGGCAGAUGGGGGAGGGAAAAAAGUGAUAUGAAGAGAGCUUGGACCAAGGAGGACACCAUUUAGGAUGGGGAGGGAGGGACAGCUACAUGAAAUGUUAGGGAGGAAGAAUUUGGAAAAUUUAGCUAUUAACUGAAUGUGAAGGCUGAAAGACAGAAGAACCCAGGCUUCUGAGACAUGGAAGAUGGUGGUGUUUAAGACGGGAAAGUGAGGCUGGCGUCAAGAGGGAAGAUGAGAAGCUCAACAUAGGAAACACUGAGUUUGAGGUAUCAGAGGGCAUCCAUGGAGAAAUGUCUCAGAAGCGAGAAAAAAUGAGGGAUUGUACAAUGGGGAAGCGGGGCUGGAGAGUCACCUGUGAGGAGACGGUAGUUUAAGCAGGGGGAUCUGAUGAGUUCCCCGAGACAGUGAGGGCAGAGCGAAAGGAGUAGAGGACCCGCAAGAGAGCCUGGUGGGACACUCAGCCGGGUGGGCAACGAGAGGUAGGAGAACUGGCCAAUGGGAAUGAGACGGAUUGAAGCAAAGCCAAGGUCUGAAAGGAUUUCAAAGAGGAGGGAAGAAAAUGGCCGGCCCACAAUGUCCACGGUGGUAGCGUGGUCAAGGAGGAUGAAGACGGAGGGGGGAGUCCGAGCUUUGGCUCCGAUGAGGCAUUGGUGUCCAUGGACAGGGCAAUCUCAACCCAGUGACAGGUUUGAAAACCUGACUGUAGAGAGCAUGGAUAAGAACCAGUGGAGAGGUGAAGGCAGCGGAUGUGGACAAACCUCUGCAGCCGUUUGGAUAGGAAGGGUGCAGGAAGAAGGGAUGGGAGUGAUCCAGCACAGCGGGUCGACUUGACAGUGUUAGACAGUACAGGGAAGAAGGAGUCACCGGAGAGUGAGAAGUGGAAGAUGGUGGUCAGGGACGGGGGAGGCAAGUGGGAGCCGGUAUUUUUCAAGGAUGACAGGAGAUAGGUCAGGCCCAGGAACAACAGUCGGAUUUUGGGAGCGCAGACAGGAACACUCAAGAAACAGCUGGAAAGGAGGAGGAGGGGGAAGAAGAGUGGGGAGGAGAUAGAGACUCUGCAAAUUAAUUUAAUUUACAGGGUGAGGGGGCUGUAAACCUUUCUAAACACAGACAUGCCCAAAAUGAACAGAAAUAUUUUUCAUUAAACAUUAUUAAAAUGGCGUGCUCACAAACCCGCGAAGUCGCCACUUUGACAAGGAUCAUCAGCACCCUCUCAAAGUCUGCACGGGAAGAGUCUGAAGCGAGUGACAAGGAAAAGAAACCAAACGAGGAGACGACUAAGGGCUUGGCCAACAUCCGCUUGGAAUACCGCUGCGCACAGUGAGCCCUGGGGUUGAGCUCCAGAGGGUCCUGGAUCCCCUCCAGCUCACUACUCUGACAUUUCUUGAAAAAUACAAAUUAGGAAGUUCCAAAAUCCGCCAUUUCACUGACCCGAGUUCUGCUUGGAGCCUGACGCGCCCGCCUGCUCGAGCUUUGCUUUCUUCUUCUUGGCCGAAGAAGACUCCGAAGACGGGGCGGGACGCUUUUCGACAGCAGGAGUGGAGAGGGCUCGCUUUUUGAAUAGCUCCCGCUCUCUCAACAAGCUUGGAUCCAUAGUUCUGUCAAAAUAAACAACAAAAAGGAGGAA
Long non-coding RNA from Tachyglossus aculeatus (Australian echidna), 2732 nucleotides. RefSeq lists it as uncharacterized. The transcript is spliced from 2 exons. Lineage: Eukaryota; Metazoa; Chordata; Mammalia; Monotremata; Tachyglossidae. The record is from RefSeq and is a predicted model, not a curated record.